Molecule: ribosomal RNA, 1331 nt
Filed under: Salicola marasensis
Lineage: Bacteria; Pseudomonadati; Pseudomonadota; Gammaproteobacteria; Oceanospirillales; Halomonadaceae
Description: bacterial SSU rRNA
Rfam family: Bacterial small subunit ribosomal RNA
Source: RNAcentral
UGGGGGAUAGCCCGGGGAAACCCGGAUUAAUAGCGCAUACUCCCUGAGGGGGAAAGCGGGCUCCGGCUCGCGCUAUUGGAUGGGCCCAUGUCGGAUUAGUUUGUUGGUGAGGUAACGGCUUACCAAGGCGACGAUCCGUAGCUGGUCUGAGAGGAUGAUCAGCCACACCGGGACUGAGACACGGCCCGGACUCCUACGGGAGGCAGCAGUGGGGAAUAUUGGACAAUGGGGGCAACCCUGAUCCAGCCAUGCCGCGUGUGUGAAGAAGGCCUUUGGGUUGUAAAGCACUUUCAGCAGGGAGGAAAAGCUUGGUCGUUUGUACCAGCCAGAGUGGACGGUACCUGCAGAUGAAGCACCGGUUAACUCCGUGACAGCAGCCGCGGUUAUACGGAGGGUGCAAGCGUUAAUUGGAAUUACUGGGGGUAAAGGGCGCGUAGGCGGUUUGAUAAGCGGGUUGUGAAAGCCCCGGGCUCAACCUGGGAAUUGCAAUCCGAACUAUCAGGCUAGAGUGCAGCAGAGGGCAGUGGAAUUCCCGGUGUAGCGGUGAAAUGCGUAGAUAUCGGGAGGAACACCAGUGGCGAAGGCGACUGCCUGGGCUGACACUGACGCUGAGGUGCGAAAGCGUGGGUAGCAAACAGGAUUAGAUACCCUGGUAGUCCACGCUGUAAACGUUGAGAACUAGUCGUUGGGGCUAUUAGAGCCUUAGUGACGCAGCUAACGCGAUAAGUUCUCCGCCUGGGGAGUACGGCCGCAAGGUUAAAACUCAAAUGAAUUGACGGGGGCCCGCACAAGCGGUGGAGCAUGUGGUUUAAUUCGACGCAACGCGAAGAACCUUACCUGGUCUUGACAUCCUGCGAACUUGCUAGAGAUAGCUUGGUGCCUUCGGGAGCGCAGUGACAGGUGCUGCAUGGCCGUCGUCAGCUCGUGUCGUGAGAUGUUGGGUUAAGUCCCGUAACGAGCGCAACCCUUGUCCUCAGUUACCAGCACUUCGGGUGGGCACUCUGGGGAGACUGCCGGUGACAAACCGGAGGAAGGUGGGGAUGACGUCAGGUCAUCAUGGCCCUUACGGCCAGGGCUACACACGUGCUACAAUGGGGCGUACAGAGGGCAGCAAGUGCGCGAGCGCAAGCGAAUCCCUUAAAGCGUCUCUCAGUCCGGAUCGGAGUCUGCAACUCGACUCCGUGAAGUCGGAAUCGCUAGUAAUCGCAGAUCAGAAUGCUGCGGUGAAUACGUUCCCGGGCCUUGUACACACCGCCCGUCACACCAUGGGAGUGGACUGCACCAGAAGCGGUUAGUCUAACCUUCGGGAGGACGAUCGCCACGGUGUGGUU